CCUACGGGGCGCUGCAGUAGGGAAUCUUCCACAAUGGGCGAAAGCCUGAUGGAGCAACGCCGCGUGGGUGACGAAGGUCUUCGGAUCGUAAAACUCUGUUGUUAGAGAAGUAAGUGCGUGAGAGUAACUGUUCACGUUUCGACGGUAUCUAACCAGAAAGCCACGGCUAACUACGUGCCAGCAGCCGCGGUAAUACGUAGGUGGCAAGCGUUAUCCGGAUUUAUUGGGCGUAAAGGGAACGCAGGCGGUCUUUUAAGUCUGAUGUGAAAGCCUUCGGCUUAACCGGAGUAGUGCAUUGGAUACUGGGAAACUUGAGUGCAGAAGAGGAGAGUGGAACUCCAUGUGUAGCGGUGAAAUGCGUAGAUAGAUGGAAGAACACCAGUGGCGAAAGCGGCUCUCUGGUCUGUAACUGACGCUGAGGUUCGAAAGCGUGGGUAGCAAACAGGAUUAGAUACCCGUGUAGUC
RNAcentral lists this ribosomal RNA (465 nucleotides) under uncultured bacterium. Its description in RNAcentral is "partial 16S ribosomal RNA". It matches the Rfam family "Bacterial small subunit ribosomal RNA", at positions 338 to 795 of the family's 1533-position model. The record is from RNAcentral.